RNAcentral lists this ribosomal RNA (253 nucleotides) under uncultured bacterium. RNAcentral describes it as "partial 16S ribosomal RNA". It matches the Rfam family "Bacterial small subunit ribosomal RNA", at positions 524 to 776 of the family's 1533-position model. The record is from RNAcentral.
UACAGAGGUCUCAACCGUUGUUCGGAUUCAUUGGGCGUAAAGGGUGCGUAGGCGGUCGCGCAAGUCGGAUGUGAAAUCUCAGGGCUCAACCCUGAAACUGCAUUCGAUACUGCGUGGCUAGAGUGCUGGAGAGGAGACUGGAAUUUACGGUGUAGCAGUGAAAUGCGUAGAUAUCGGGAGGAACACCCGUGGCGAAGGCGGCCAUCUGGACCAGCACUGACGCUGAGGCACGAAAGCGUGGGGAGCAAACAGG